Molecule: long non-coding RNA, 1436 nt
Organism: Apis dorsata (giant honeybee)
Lineage: Eukaryota; Metazoa; Arthropoda; Insecta; Hymenoptera; Apidae
Exons: 2
Source: RefSeq, a predicted model, not a curated record
UAUACAUUAUAUAAUUGAACAAUAAUAGCAGAUAAUUAAUUUAAAUUAAUUUAAAAUUGGAUACAAUAAUUCUACGUUCGUAUCGUGAUUUAUUUUCUAAAAAUGAAGAGAUUUGAUCGGGUUCUGUCUAACUUCUCCCUUUGUUUUGAAUCACCGUCGUUGCUGCCCUCACAAACAAUAAUGUAAUUACCCAAAGAAACGAGUAUUAUUCUGGCUUCUAUGACGGCACAGUCUUUAUACGAACGAUGCGAUGCGAUGCGAUCGAUCAUCUUUCGACGAACGAUAAGUUUUCAAGUGAAUUAGAAACGACAUUAAUUUGUGGUAGGUAAAUAAUUUAUCAACCGUGUCGACCGAAAAAGUUUUUUUUGGUUUACAUUCGGUCGAGUGGAAAUGACCGAUCAAGUAGACAUGCGCCAAAUUUCUAUGAGAAAUUGUUUUCAUCCAUGAUUAAAUUAAUAAUGAAUAUUACGUGACGGCGAUUCAUCGAUCUUAGAUAUAGACGAGAAAAUCGGAUCAGUAUUAUCACUUGGAAACCGCAUGCGUUCCAGUUGAAAGACUAUUUGAGAACCUCUAAACUAGCCUACACUUUUUACGGAUAUGAUACUUACGCUCUAUACGAGCGCACAAACUGUACCUGAUAUUCGUAUACGUUCCGAUUGUUCACCUCACCGGAACAACAUCGGAAGAGCUCGUCCGCUCGUUACCUCGAAACAAAUCUCCGUUCAAUUUGGCUCUUCUUUUGUCAGUCGGUUUUACUUUCGUCUCUCCGUGUCUAUGAAAAAUCAUGAUUCGUGCUCAUGUAUCUCUGAUAUCGCGAAAUAGAUUCUUUCCCUGUUUAUUCCCCGAUCUCGAAAGGCAAGUUGGAACUAACGCAAGGAAAUAAGAUAGACGAGUAUGCAUUAUAGACGCGUGCGCACGCGCCACAAGGAAGGAAUAGAAUACGAUAUCGAGGAUACAAACGCGUGUCCGGUAAAAUGACUCGCGUCCCGUUAUAUGACGGCUGGUUCGUUCGCGCGAAAUGCUAAAAGCCUGUGUUCAGGGCAUAUACGAUGUGACCAAGGACCGUUAACUAUGCCUAAUUAACCGACCAUUCGUCUCGUUCCAUGUUGCAUUAAUAUUUCGCGAUAUGAUGUUUCAGGCCAACUAAUCGAUUGGCGUAUUUAUAUUUUUGUUUCGAUCGAUCGUAGAUCUAAAACAUAGAUCUUUUGUUUCAAUUCUGAUCAAUAUUCUUGAAAGAAUUUUUUGUAAUUAUUUUUGUAAAAUAUCUAUCGUAUUUAAUUAAAAUUAAUUAUUCAAGAGAAGAAUGGUCGAUUUUCCAAGAGAAUAUUGAAUAUCGUUUUUAUUUCAAUUCCAUCAUCAUUAUUCACUAAACUAUGGACAAUGAAGAUAAGUAAGAUGAAGAUAUAAUAAGAAAAAGAUUUGAAUAUUAAUUGAAU